AUGAUUCCAGGACCUGGAAUCAUACCAGCCGAUGGGUGGUCAUUUAUCGCUCGUUCAGCUGACGGCAGUCAUUUGAUGCUCAUUCGCACGUACCAAAUUAACCAAACCAUUACAUCAAACCACAUGCAGUACAAUGCGUGGGGCGUUCGUGACAUUGAUGGCUAUGGCUGCUUCGUAUUCGAGAAAGAUCCCAGCUCCGUUGGGCCAGGCUCGAAGAAGGAUUGGCCGGUGCUGCCGGCUGGCAUCAAGUUCGAUCCCACGGAUCAGGAGCUGAUCGAGCACCUUGAGGCUAAAGUGAGUGCUGACAGCGCGAGAUUUCAGUCUCUCAUCAAUUUGUUCAUACCAACCAUCGACAGCGAGCAUGGCAUAUGCUACACCCAACCCGAGAAACUUCCAGACCUGUCGGAGUGCGGCAUGCACGCGAUGUGGCACAAGACCGGCAAUACCUUGCCGGUGAUGAUCAACGGCCAGCAGACGGGCAGCAAAAAAGGUUCUGGUGCUGCACACCAACAAGAACUUCAACCAGCAGAGGACCAAGUGGAUGAUGCACCAGUACCACCUCGGGGACCUGGAGCAAGAGAAGGUGCGGGAACUGGUCCUCUGCAAGAUUUUCUACCAGACGAACACUAG
This 630-nucleotide ribosomal RNA is filed under the name Triticum aestivum (bread wheat). RNAcentral describes it as "partial small subunit ribosomal RNA". Lineage: Eukaryota; Viridiplantae; Streptophyta; Magnoliopsida; Poales; Poaceae. The record is from RNAcentral.